Molecule: long non-coding RNA, 413 nt
Filed under: Physcomitrium patens
Lineage: Eukaryota; Viridiplantae; Streptophyta; Bryopsida; Funariales; Funariaceae
Description: long non-coding RNA (PPAT_LNC011236)
Source: RNAcentral
AGUUUUUGACUGCUGGAAUAUAAACGACUGCAACAAUGUACCGUAAAUCUAUACGGAUGCUCUUCGACUGCUUGUCGAAGUCCUUUUUGCCCCAGCCGGUAGGUCUCUAGAUGUUACAGAGAACCCCGUACAACCCAAACUGUUAACCUUCAAUACUGCUUUGUACUUACGAUCUUGUAUCCAUUGACUGUCUUGUUAGAUUAACCCAAUAAAUUUCAUUCACUCCGCAUACUCAAUCCUAUAGACACCCUUUUAAUCCUUCAAUCACAAACGUAACUCGAUUUUACAAAACAGUCAAGAGUAUUCAAACCCACUUCAUUUAAAAAUCCCGAUUCACCAUUACAACACUGACUUCAGCAGCGAUUGCCUCAGUCUUCCCCAAAACUCUACGAAGAAGAAAAAUCCAAAUUCUA